RNAcentral lists this ribosomal RNA (253 nucleotides) under uncultured bacterium. Its description in RNAcentral is "partial 16S ribosomal RNA". It matches the Rfam family "Bacterial small subunit ribosomal RNA", at positions 524 to 776 of the family's 1533-position model. The record is from RNAcentral.
UACGAAGGUGGCAAGCGUUACUCGGAAUUACUAGGCGUAAAGGGCAGGUAGGCGGUUUGAUAAGUCCGUUGUGAAAGCUCCCGGCUUAACUGGGAGAGGUCAAUGGAUACUGUCGAACUUGAGUAUGGGAGAGGGUACUGGAGUUCCUGGUGUAGCGGUGAAAUGCGCAGAUAUCAGGAGGAACACCGAUGGCGAAAGCAGGUACCUGGACCAUUACUGACGCUCAGCUGCGAAAGCUAGGGGAGCAAACAGG